This 309-nucleotide ribosomal RNA is filed under the name Enterobacter sp. JC22. Its description in RNAcentral is "bacterial SSU rRNA". It matches the Rfam family "Bacterial small subunit ribosomal RNA", at positions 1069 to 1378 of the family's 1533-position model. RNAcentral also lists the same sequence under 1 other name. The record is from RNAcentral. Lineage: Bacteria; Pseudomonadati; Pseudomonadota; Gammaproteobacteria; Enterobacterales; Enterobacteriaceae.
GAAAUGUUGGGUUAAGUCCCGCAACGAGCGCAACCCUUAUCCUUUGUUGCCAGCGGUCCGGCCGGGAACUCAAAGGAGACUGCCAGUGAUAAACUGGAGGAAGGUGGGGAUGACGUCAAGUCAUCAUGGCCCUUACGAGUAGGGCUACACACGUGCUACAAUGGCGCAUACAAAGAGAAGCGACCUCGCGAGAGCAAGCGGACCUCAUAAAGUGCGUCGUAGUCCGGAUUGGAGUCUGCAACUCGACUCCAUGAAGUCGGAAUCGCUAGUAAUCGUAGAUCAGAAUGCUACGGUGAAUACGUUCCCGGG